ACCAACUCAGCGGCAUCCUUCUUCAUAGUGGGCCAGUAGUAGCCCUGUCGCAGGACUUUGUAAGCUAAGGACUUGCCCCCCAAGUGAUCGCCACAGAUUCCUUCAUGUACUUCCCUGAGGGCAUAGUCCGCGUCAGUCGGCCCCAGGCACUUCAGCAGGGGAAAGGAGAACGACCUUUUGUAUAAUCGGCCGUCGAUCAUCACAUAUUGGGAAGUCGCCCACCGGAGUCGCCUGGCUUCUGCAGGGUCUUCGGGG
RNAcentral lists this long non-coding RNA (255 nucleotides) under Elaeis guineensis (African oil palm). RNAcentral's name for it is "long non-coding RNA (EGUI_LNC013544)". Lineage: Eukaryota; Viridiplantae; Streptophyta; Magnoliopsida; Arecales; Arecaceae. The record is from RNAcentral.